This 138-nucleotide long non-coding RNA is filed under the name Macaca nemestrina (pig-tailed macaque). RNAcentral describes it as "WT1 antisense RNA conserved region 2 (ENSMNEG00000003540.1)". It matches the Rfam family "WT1 antisense RNA conserved region 2". Lineage: Eukaryota; Metazoa; Chordata; Mammalia; Primates; Cercopithecidae. The record is from RNAcentral.
ACGGUUAAGCCGGGAAAACAGCGGCUAGUUUGGGAGGGAAGAAACCCCUUGGGCAAACGCCCAAAGCCUGCGUAUAUUCCGGCCGGAGCAUCCUGGCGCCCUAGUUUGGGGAGGAGGGGUGAAGGGGAAGAUCUGGAU